Molecule: non-coding RNA, 5257 nt
Organism: Microcebus murinus (gray mouse lemur)
Lineage: Eukaryota; Metazoa; Chordata; Mammalia; Primates; Cheirogaleidae
Source: RefSeq, a predicted model, not a curated record
GGCCAGCUGACCCCCCGCUGGAGUCUGCAUCACUUUGCCCGAGGCAGUGAUGCAUCACUUUGCCCGAGGCACCCUGCCCCACCCCCCUGCCACAGGAGCAGCUCUGCAGCAGAGACCACUGAGAGCAGAGCCCGGAGGCAUUCCUAAAGACUGCAGGAUUUGGUACCAAGAGUGGGGCUGGAAGCAAUUCCCAGUACCCAGCCAGCAGAGUCUGGAAGCGGAUCCAGGGUCAGCGUCGGAAUGUUCGCUGACAGGCCCCGGAGGGCCGUCCCGCUGAACGUGCCCACAGGCAGCUGGGCGUGCCGCGUGGGAGCCCAGGACGGUGGCCGCUGGGGACAGCUGUGGAUGGUGGCUGAGGUCACCGGAGAGGCCCAGAGCUCCGGCCCAGGCACGAGGCGCAGCAGGAUGGCCCGGUUUCUGCCUUGGAGGGGCUGACGGUCUCGGGGGAAGACGCUGAGCAGCAACAAUGGCAGCAGCAAUACCACAUCCCAGGCUCCCUGUGUUUGAAGUCCUGUCGCCUCUCCAGGACCUGUUGGUCAGCCGCACAUUCCAGGAGAGGCUGCUACCGAAAGGGGAAUGGGAACAGAAACGACUGUUGACAUGGGAGUAGCCGGAGAGGAGCCCUCGGGAAUGAACAGGGACUCCGGGCAUGCCCGGCCCCUCCCGGCUGGGGCACAGUCACAAACAGCAGGAUUCCCUGAGAAUAAACGUCUGCUGGUUUCCGCUGUGAUCCGCGCCCACUCCUGCUCCAUCCAAUAAUGAGAACCUGUGCCAGUCUGUUCAGGCUGCUGUGACAAAAACACCAUGGACUGGGUAAUCUGUGCACAGAACAAAUUUAUUGCUCGCCGUGCUGGGGGCUGGAGAGUCUGGGCUAAGGGACCAGCGGAUUCGCCUGCGGCUGGUGCGAGCUCUUUGCUCCGUGGGCGCCGCCGCCUCGCUUUGUCCACGCGUAGCAGAGGGGCCCGCACGUUCUCUCGGGCCUUUCUUACAAGGCCGCCGUCCUGAUCACGAGGGCUCCACUCCUGUGACUUAAUCCCCUCCCCGCAGGCCCUGCCUCGGCACACCAUCGCACUGGGGGUUAGGUUUCAGCAUGAAUUUUGGAGGAGGCACAACCAUUCAGAGCACAGCAAGACCCCUCACCUGAAAACUCGCUACGGGGUAUCGUCGCCGUUCUGGUUUGCCUAUUUCUGGAAAGGCAGAGCAAAACGAGAGCAAGAAAAGGAUAUUACUAACACUCCAUUUCAGCUUGUUUCUUUUUAACAGUCUAAUAAGUACUCCGCGAAGAGCGCUUUGCCCGUUGGAGACUGGUGCAGUCCUUUGCUGGUGGGCUGGAGAGCACGCCGUGGCCUUGGACCUGUGGCGGUGACUGGGUGCACGGGGGAUUCUUUCUCCUUAAUUUUCAUGAGGAAUUAAGGAAGGGCGUGUGUCCUUUGGGACAGGCACCCUGUGAGGAAGCCUGAGCCGGCUACUUGGAGAGGCGACGUGAAGGAGAACUUAAGUGCCAUAGCUCACAGCCCUGCCCAGCUGCCCUAUGUGUGGCCAUCCAGGACUGGCCAGUCCCCUGCUGACCUUGCAACUCAAUACAAAGACAACACUCAAGCAGCGUGCUGUGAGCAGAGGUGAAUGGAAUAGCUGUCGUACAUCCACAUGAUGGAAUACUACUCAGUACUAAAAAGAAAUAGACCAUUAACACGUGCUACAACAUAGAUGGAUCGCAGGAUAACUGUGUUGUGUGAAAGAAGCCAGCAACAGAAAACUAACACGAGUGUCGAUCUGGACGUGGGGCGCGGCCGUGACAAAUACCUAAAAAGGCGGCUGGUUUUGGAGCUCAGCAGUGGACAGAGAAGCGUGACAGAGAAAGGUGAUGGAGAGACUGCGGUGAGCAGAGAUCUGGACAGUAAGGACAGUGCAGGCGAGGCCUCCGAGGAAGGAGUAUCGGUUGUGUUUCAGCAGGACAGAGGAUCACGUCGCUCAGACCACUGGACGCACGCGAAUUGCUGCCAUUAUCGCUGCAGCUUAUCCCGAUUAAGUGGAAUCAGGCAGAAAUCUCCACCCGCAAGUCCUUUCUUCUCAUCCUGCCCCACCGGCCGCCUCGCCCUGAUGAGAAGUGAAAGAGAAAACUCCGGUUUUCACUGUAUACCUGUUGGUACCUUUCGAAUCCCGUGCCACAGCUCUGCACUGCCUACCCCGCAAGGCGGACAAAGAGAACAGGCUGCUCGAGAAGGUGACUUAGGGCCGCAGGCACACAUCGGCAGAGCACAGGGCCCAGCACAUCUUCCUGCUGGGGCGAAAGAACGCGGGGUCCCUGGAGGGCCCCCAGCCCCUUGUCAGUUUCACCGUCUGAGAUGUGUCCAGGAAGCCCAGUUACCGGCACCGGGAAGGGGUUGGCAGAGAACGGCGCGGCCGAGUUGCUCCCACAGCCUCUCCUUGUGGGUCCCCGGAGGCCGAAGACCCAAGGGCACGCCGGGGUGGGAGGAGGACCUCAUUGCGAGACCCCCAUGGCUCCCUCCCGGUCCCUGUUUCCUGAGCGGUGGGACGGGCACCUGGGACGGAGAUAACGCUGUCCCGUUUCACCAGGAGUGUGGGCUGUGCGCAACAGAGACUCCCGUCCUGCCCUCCCACCACUCACAGCCUCGCGGCCGGCCACGUCUCUCACCCGAGAGCGCAGCCACUGAAUACGGCGUCACUGCCGCUGCUGUGAACAGAUGCAGAUUUGUUAGAUCACUGAAGAAUAAGACAAUGAAAGAUUUUAUUUUCCCAUCAUUUAUUCAUUCCCUUGUACAGCUUUCUUUUCCUUCCUUUCCCUUUCUUUCUUGUGGUGGGAACGUGUAGGGGUCGAGGGGAAAGUUCCUCUUCAUCCACUGAAAAUCACUGACGUGAGGCAGAUGGAUGGGAGGAAAGGCAAACAAAUUAAUUCACCACGCAUGCCCAGGAGCCUGCAGAACGGGGACCCGGCCCCCGGUGAGGUGCGGAAGCUCGAGGCUGCAGAAAGAACGGGGGCUCGGAGCAUCGCCCCAAACAGGUGAUGGGGGCAAAUCAGGUUUAGUGGCAGGACAGGCUGUGGGGAGGAGGGGAGAGGAGAGGAGGCCUGGCCAGCGAAGGUGGUCCUGGAGUGCAGAGGAAACGCACAGGAAGCAGCCCUCGGAGAGAAUAGAUGGUAGGUGUUUCUUUUCAGACCUUUAAUUGUGUCAGACUCCCAUUUAGCCUUUCCUGGAUCUGGGCGAGGGAAGGCCUGGCCGCAUCAGUGCGGAUUCUCCAUAGAUGCAAAUUACAGACAAAGGAGUGGAAAAACCAGCUGGGAUAAGCAUAAUGAAGAAUAAUUUAAAUAUGUCAUCCCAUAUCCUUAGUCCCGAGACCAGAUCAGCUCAGUUAGACACCUGUGUCCCAUUCCAGCAGGGGGCACUGCAGGUGGGCUAGGCCCCUGUAUGUGACACAGGCAAACGGGUCUCUAAUAAGGGGCAUUUCUAUGGAGAAAGGGAAGAAAAACAAAGGCUAUUUGUCUGGAGUCAUCUACGGACUAGUUUUCUAGAAUUUACGAAGCAUCUUCAGGUUGCAGUGGCAACUUGGCAGAUUUUUCUGGAUUUUCGUUUGAAUCAGAUGUUUAAGUGAACUUUCUGCGUGGUCCACACCUGAGCAGGCACACAGGCUGUUUCCAUAAUAAGUUGCUGUGAUUUUGUUAGGUAGACGGCGAGGGAUUCCACGUCUCCCAGGGACGAAGGUCAGCAACCUUGUAAAGGGACCGCAUAGACAAGGUACCAGGCCAAUCUCUCCAACAGGCUUUUACCAGCUCUAAAAGGUCAACUUCAGUCUCUCAAAGCAGUCUGGUCAUAUCUGAAGAUACACUGUUGGCAAAACGACCGAUGCCUCCAAUUGUGUCCUGUUGCAAAAGGAAACAGUGGAAAAUCUAGGAAGUAAGCAAUUAUAGUUAUGCACCAUAUGCAGAUCUGAAGACAAAGGACAGGGCUGCGGAGGUGGUGCCUGCAGGAUCCGGUCCUCCCCAGCAUGGCCAAGAGACGCAGGAGUCUAAAGGAUCCCUCUUCUCGCCACUGACAAUUAGAAUUUCCGACGCUGCACGUAUUCCGACCAUGACUCAACCCAGACAGGCUCUUCAAAGGGGAGGCAGUCCUCAAGACCCUGCCCUCCACAGUCACUCCCCGACAGACGGAGGCCGAGAGAGUAGAAGACUCUCGUCACAGACAGUCAGGGAUGGUGUUUGCCUGCAGCGGCCCACGGACUUUUUGGGGGGCUGCCCCGAGCAGGCCUGCUAGUCUGUGGUGCUGGGCAGGCUCCCCUGGGACGGGACGUCCCGCAGGACUCACCCGGCAACAAGAGGUGAGAUGACAGCAGCCCCUCAGGGACGGGACUUAUCAAGACAAACUUUCCCGAGAGCUUAACGUAUCAUGAGCAAAAAAAAGUCUCAUGUUCUGAGCCGUUUUCAGACUGGCCACCUGGCACGACUGGAAAAUCACACCCCCGGGACAGCAAAAACCAAAAGUGUAAACACGACAACAGUGGCCCGGAGAAGCCCACACCAAACUCGGGAGGAUGAAACUCGUGUUCCCUACGGGGAGAGGACGCCCUGGGGUGGGGAGCAACAAAGCAGCCCCGUCCCGAAUACUCCCGUUUCUUUUACGAAAACUGUCAAGUGACUGUGACUAAACAUGAACGCCUAUGUCGGUUCUAGAAGGCGGCUGUGUAAGUGUUUGGUACAGACGCCGUUCUCUCCACGCCUGUGUGUCUUCUUCGCUUCCGGGAAAAGGGAGGAACGGGCAAGCCGGGCUGGGCCGGGCGUGCAAGUCCGCAGUGCAAGUCCGCAGAGCCCGGGCACUGGCGCCAGGCGACUUGCCUUGCCACCUGCCGGCUCUCUGUUUGAUGUGGGGCACGCUGCUGCCCCUCUCUGCCCCUGAGCGCCCCCACCUGUGGAGGGAGGGGCGUGCAGCUUCAAGGUAGCUUGCUGCUGUGUCCUCCCCAGCAUCUGUUUGGUGGAACAGACCAGACUAGAUCAGACAACGCAAGAGUACACCAGCUGCCAGGGGCUGGGAAGGGGCGUGGGGAGUUAGUGCUUAAUGGGUACAGAGCUUCUGUUUGGGGUGAUGAAAACGGUCUGGAGAUGGGUGUCGGUGAUGGCAUUGCAACGGUGUGAAUGGACUGAAUGCCACUGAACUGUAUUCCUAAGAAAAUGAAUUAAAACAGUACAUUUCAUGUUAUGUAUAUUUUAGUACAAUGCAAAAUAAAGAGCGUGCGUUGCAACAAGCAA